UGGCACUGAACCAAUUUUCAGACAUGAGCUUUGCUGAAAUAAAACACAAGUAUCUUUGGUCAGAGCCUCAGAAUUGCUCAGCCACCAAAAGUAACUACCUUCGAGGUACUGGUCCCUACCCACCUUCCGUGGACUGGCGGAAAAAAGGAAAUUUUGUCUCACCUGUGAAAAAUCAGGGUGCCUGCGGCAGUUGCUGGACUUUCUCCACCACAGGGGCCCUGGAGUCUGCGAUCGCCAUUGCAACUGGGAAGAUGCUGUCCUUGGCCGAACAGCAGCUGGUGGACUGCGCCCAGGACUUCAAUAAUCAUGGCUGCCAAGGGGGUCUCCCCAGCCAGGCUUUCGAGUACAUCCUGUACAACAAGGGGAUCAUGGGUGAAGACACCUACCCCUACCAGGGCAAGGAUGGUUAUUGCAAGUUCCGACCUGGAGAGGCCAUCGGCUUUGUCAAGGAUGUAGCCAACAUCACAAUCGUGAGUGCCGAUCCCCCUCUGGGAUGGGGAAUGUGUCCUGAUGAGGAGGCCUCUAUCACGCUGUUGGACAGCCAACGGGCCCAGCAAGGCAGCCCUUCUGGCAG
Molecule: small RNA, 574 nt
Filed under: Pongo abelii (Sumatran orangutan)
Lineage: Eukaryota; Metazoa; Chordata; Mammalia; Primates; Hominidae
Description: retained intron
Source: RNAcentral